Alnus glutinosa is the source of this 3736-nucleotide RNA transcript. RefSeq lists it as uncharacterized. The record is from RefSeq and is a predicted model, not a curated record. The transcript has 6 exons. Lineage: Eukaryota; Viridiplantae; Streptophyta; Magnoliopsida; Fagales; Betulaceae.
UCUUCGGGUCUUCCUUUGUUUCCUCACCCUCCAUACGACUCUUUUUCCAAGUAAUCACGGUACACAGUGGGUGGACACUCUCGCAGGAGUCGCAACACACGCACAACACGGUCAUCACCACCACCGCCGCCGAAAUGGCGACAAUGUCUACAACCGCACCGCCAGCAGUGGCACACCCACCAGGCGUAAUAAACCUCGACUCCGUCGGUCACAUCGACAUGUCCACACUCUCCCAGUCGGAGCUCCAAGCCCUCUCCCUCUGCUCCCCCUCCGUCUUCGAUCUCCGCCAACCCUCCCACCUCCUCGCCCCCAAAAUCGACCGCUCCCUCUUCAACGAAUCCGCUGGCUCUCGCCGCCAGACCUACUCCCGCCCCUCCAAUUCCACCCCCUCCGCCGGCCACCGCCGCCGCGUCGCUGGCCUCCUCCCCACCCCCAAGCUCCCUCCUGUCCCCUCCGACGACCCUGAACGCGUAGAGAACCGCCUCAUCAUCGACCACCUCAAGCAUUUCAUCGACCAAGACCCCCGGUUCGACCACUUCGACCUAACCCUACCCUCAUUGUCGUCCCUCUUCGUUGACACGAAUCGCGAGGAGGCGGAGCGAGAUAACACGGUGAGUUUUGUUGGGGAGAGGAAGAGGAAGAGAGGGAGGAAGCCGAGAGUGAAGGUUCUGCAUUUGGAGGAGGGGAGGGGUGUAAUGGAGAUUGUGAAUAGGGACGGUGUGGCGGUGGAUCUUACGGCGUUGGCGAAUGCGGAGGACCCGUAUGGGGAGGAAUUGAGGAGGAGGACUGUGGGGAUGGAGAGUGAAGAGGAGUUGCUGGGGUUUAUGAGGGAAUUGGGUGGGCAGUGGGGGAGUAGGAGGAAGAAGAGGAAAAUUGUGGAUGCAGGCGUGUUCGGAGAUACCUUGCCGGUCGGAUGGAAGCUCUUGUUGGGGAUCAAGAGGAGGGAUGGCCGUGCCUCCAUUUACUGCCGCAGAUAUAUAAGCCCUACUGGACUACAGUUUAUAUCCUGCAAGGAAGCUGCUUCAUAUUUGCUGUCCUUUUUCGGUCUUAGUGAUGCACAGUGUCCCAAUAAUCAGAAGGGUGAAAACAUUCAGCAGGACUACAGACAGAGUUCUGAAAAUCUUGCAGGCUUUACCCCAAAGUACAGCAGCAGGCAAGAAGUCAUUUCGAGUUCAACUCCAUCUACAAUUCCUAUAUCUAGUGAACAGGUGAAGGAAACAACCUUGUUGGGAAUGGAAAAUCUUGAAGAUGUUCAAAUACAUGAUCUAUUUGAAUGUCACAAGUGCAGCAUGACGUUUGAUGAGAAGGAUUCAUAUCUGCAGCACCUCUUAUCCUAUCACCAGAGGACUACAAGGAGGUAUAGACUGGGUUCUUCUGUUGGGGAUGGAGUAAUAAUUAAAGAUGGAAAGUAUGAAUGCCAGUUCUGCCAUAAGAUAUUUCUAGAGAGGCGUCGCUACAAUGGUCACGUGGGGAUACACGUGAGGAACUAUGUGAGGAGGGUUGAAGAAUUGCCUGGUCCAACAACUCUUGAAAAGAGAAUCGAGUCUCCAACCGGGGAUGAUGUACCAUUAAGGAUAUCUAAAAUGGAUGCUUUGAUUGAAAUUGCUCAGAAUUCUAUUUUAGAGAGUUCUACUCUUAGAACUAAUGAUGAACCCAAUGGUGAUUCCACUCCUGAUCGACUGAACGUUCCUUCUACUCAAGAAAUUCCUGCUGCCAAUUCUGAUCUUGAUAUGAAUCUUGAUUCUCCCCUUAGUGGACAGGAAAUGGAUGAUGGCAUGACUGACAUAACUCUCUAUCAAGAUUUAAGUCAGCAAGAUGGUGAGCACUUGAUCGCUGAUGAAAAUGUGGAGAAUACCGAUGAUUCUAAUGAAGUGGUAGAUUCUAAGAGAGAUUCUUGUUUGGAUUCCACAACUGUCCUGCCUGCUAAUGAGCAAAAUGGUACAUCUGAAACAUUUUGUGAAAAAGUUGGUUUGACAUUUGUCGAUGAUAAAGGAAAUUCUGGGGUUCAGCAAGAGGAAGUUUCUGAAGGUCAUUUACUUGCUCAAUUUGGCAACAAGAUGGUGUGUGAUGUUAGGGAUGAUAUAAAUUUGGUUUGUGCUAGCACUUUAGAGCAUCCCAAGCUUGGUGAAGUUAAUGAUAAUAGUGAGCUAAAAGUUGGCUUUAGUCACAGCAGUGAUGGGCCAGUCAAGAAUAUUGUGACAGAAACUGAACAGAAAACUUCUGAAGAAAAUUUACUCCAGUGUGGGGUUUCUGACUCUUUAAUCUCCACAGAGCAACCUUUGCAAUAUUUCCCCACAUUCAGCGCAACCUCAGAUAAGGCAGAGGAACAGUUAUGCAUUGUUGACCAAAGGCAUGACAAUGUAACCGGGUUUGAGGAACUGAGGUUGGAUGAAAUAGAACCUCUUAAGUAUAGUUCUGCGACUGCACAAGAAUCUCUUUCCAUUCAAGAUGUACCCAUGGAUUUGACAUACAAUGUAGAGAUGGAAGGGGCAUAUGGUUCCUCCGUCCAGUUUGAGUCAGAAGAAGUCAUGUUAAAUAUGGGUGGCAGAAGUCAGCUUACAACUGUUUGUGUAUGGUGUGGAGUAGAGUUCAACCAUGAGGCUGUUGAUGCUCAAAUACAGCCAGAUUCUGUUGGUUUUAUGUGUCCAACCUGCAAGGCAAAAAUCUCUGGGCAACUUAAUGUACUAGACAGUGGUUUACCGUUGAAUUCUCAUCGCCCCUGACAAAUUGGACAGAAUUGGUCAAGAAAUGCGUGUAUCUCCAACAAAACAAAGAAAUACAGAGAUAAUGGUUUACCAACCUCUAAAUCAAAAGUUGAUGUAGGAGAAGUGAAGAUAGACAAAUUUUAUGGUUUGGAGGCCAAGUUUAUAGCCUGUGGUCUGAGUUAUGUCUUCCAAUGAUGAGGUUACAACUUACAACUGUGUAAUGUGCACGUGGAGGAACGAGAGCUCCAAGUUAGAUAUCAUGAGGUUCUUCUAGCAUUAUUCAUGAUAGUUGUAAUGGAUACUUAUUUUGUGGCUCAAGUGGGAUUUUCUGGAGGUGUCAUUUAGUGGAACUUGAGCUUUGCUAAAGCGGCUCAUGAUUGAGAGAUGGAUGUUUUUGUCUCGUUCUUCAGGGUGUUCUAUUUAGUCAGAAUGAGACGGGAAGACGAGGGCAAGCUGUGGUGCGUCCAAUCCGAAAGAGGGUUGUUUGGUUUUAAAUCCUUUUCCAGUGUCAUGGGUUGAAAUGAUGAUUUUUGUUUCCCUUAGAAGAGUGUUUGGUGGAUACAGGUCCCCGUUGGGAGUGGCCUUUUUCGUUUGGUCGACAGCUCUAGGAAAGAUUCUUACCAUGGACAAUUUCUGGAAGUAGCGCAUCAUUUUAGUUGGUAUUUGUUGUAUGUGCAAAAGGAAUAGGGAGUCUAUGGAUCAUCUUCUUCUUCAUUGUGAGGUUGCUUUUGCUAUUUAAAUAUUUUUUUUCCCAGUUGAUUUAGGUUGUCUUGGGUUAUGCUUAGACAAGUAGUUGACUCGUAUGCUUGUUGCUGGAUUGUUGAUAGCACUCGGACUGCUGCUGUGUGAGAGAUGGUGCAUUCAAACCUUUUUUGGUGUCUAUAGAGGGAAAAGAAUGAUAAAAGUUUUGGGACCGUGAAAAGAUUUUAGAAGAGAUUAAGUACUUAUUUUUCGAUACCCUAUAUCUUUGGACAGUUGUUUUUGUUUCUCAUUUGGUGAUUAGUUAUCAUUUUUUUGCUUUGUUUUGUUUU